Molecule: ribosomal RNA, 253 nt
Filed under: uncultured bacterium
Lineage: Bacteria
Description: partial 16S ribosomal RNA
Rfam family: Bacterial small subunit ribosomal RNA
Source: RNAcentral
UACAGAGGUGGCAAGCGUUGUUCGGAAUUACUGGGCGUAAAGGGCGCGUAGGCGGCUUGGUCAGUCCCGUGUGAAAUCCCUCGGCUCAACUGAGGAACUGCACGGGAAACUGCCUGGCUUGAGUUCGGGAGAGGGAAGCGGAAUUCCGGGUGUAGCGGUGAAAUGCGCAGAUAUCAGGAGGAACACCGGUGGCGAAGGCGGGUCUCUGGGCCGGUACUGACGCUGAGGAGCGAAAGCGUGGGGAGCGAACAGG